RNAcentral lists this ribosomal RNA (543 nucleotides) under Triticum aestivum (bread wheat). Its description in RNAcentral is "partial small subunit ribosomal RNA". The record is from RNAcentral. Lineage: Eukaryota; Viridiplantae; Streptophyta; Magnoliopsida; Poales; Poaceae.
AUGGGACGGAGCACACGUAACCCUAUAUGGUGUCAGAUAUGGAAGUUAUCUUGUCCGACUAAAGUCAAAAUAUUUUUACGGCGGACACUACAUGGUACUCUUCCAUGUCGGGCAACACUCACUAAUAGACACAUGAAGAUCUCACCCUUGUGUCAUACAUGCUCCCAGGGUGUAGAAGAUACAAAGCACUUGCUUUUCCUAUGUAGAAAAGCCAAAGAGGUUUGGAAAAGGCUAGGGUUGGAUAUGAUUAUUGAGAGAGCUUGUGAGAUUGAUCGUGCUGGGGAGGCAAUACUGGAAUACUUAUUACUCCUUCCAGAUCAAGAUCUGCGCAUUAUGGGGUACGAAAAUGUUCGAGAAAUGGUAGCUAUCUCUGCUUGGUAUCUAUGGUGGGAAAGAAGGAAAUUAGUGCAUAAGGAAUUCACUCAAAAUGCGACCCGGAUCUCAAUGGGGAUCAUAGCUCUUACAUAUAAUUUUGUAAAUGCUUCAUCUUCAAAUGCGUCCAUAAAAAGGGGGGUUGGCAAUGUCCUCCUAGGGGCUUUGUGA